Molecule: non-coding RNA, 1056 nt
Organism: Salvia hispanica
Lineage: Eukaryota; Viridiplantae; Streptophyta; Magnoliopsida; Lamiales; Lamiaceae
Source: RefSeq, a predicted model, not a curated record
UAUACGUGCAGUAACUUAAUUCGUGAAUUUUGUUCUACACCCGUGAUCUCUGAGGAUAGGUUGUAAUACCAUAAUAAUUUCCUAUGGAGCCCACUUCGUAUUUUUAAGAUUUCAUGGGUUCCCAAUCCAUUCAUAAGGCAUAACCAUCUCCCACAUUCCACAACAAUCACUUGCAGUCACAUAACCAUCUCUCACAUUCCAUAACAAUGGCCGAUGGCAAGGCUGUUUCUAGUUCCCGCCCUAGGUUCCCUCGGGAGAAAGUUGAUCUGCUUUGAGCAAGCGUCGAAGCAUGUUAAGGCGAAAAGUCAUAAGGAAUUAGCAAACUUAGCACAUUUGAUGCGUCUUCUGAUGGACAUUCCAAAACCCUACCGACCCCCGGUGUGGGUGGACUUGAUGGAAGAAUUCAAAACUCAAAUCUGCCUCCCCACAGCCACCAUUAAUAUCCACCUCGACGACAUCUUCCCCGCUGCCCCCCUCUCCAGCCGCUUCCCCUAUGCCCCUCGCCCCAACGAAGGCGAGGAAAGUAGCAUUGCAAGAUACUGGCGCGUGAUGGGAUGGGAUAAGAAGGUGGAGAAGAAAUAAAACGGCUUGGUGUGGAUAUUAAUGGUGGCUGUGGGGGCAGCAGAUCUGAUGUUUGAGUUCGUCCAUCUUAUCCAUCCUCAUUGAGGGUCGGUAGGGUUUUGGAAUGUCCAUCAGGAGCCGCAUGAGAUGUGCCAAGUCUGCUAAUUCCUUAUGAGGUUUCGCCUCAACAUGCUUCAACGCUUGCUCAAAGCUGAUCAGCUUCUCCCGAGGGAAGCUAGGGCGGGAACUAGAAGAAGCCUUGCUAUCGGCCAUUGUUGUGGAAUAUGGGAGAUGGUUAUGUGGCUGCAAAUGAUUGUUGUGGAAUGUGGGAGAUGGUUUAUGCCUUUAUAAUGAAACAAAGAAUGUACAACUGUGAUUAAAAUAAAACUAUAGAAAUAUAACUAUGGUUAAAAGAUAACUGAAAAUGAUACCUGCCAGUAUUGUUAUCUCUCUUUCUAAAGUCUAUCGCAAUGCAAAGAUGAAAUAUUCUAUAAA